AUUGAACGCUGGCGGCAGGCCUAACACAUGCAAGUCGAGCGAGAGGCGGACGGGUGAGUCAUGUAUGGGGACUGCCCGAUAGAGGGGGAUAACUACUGGAAACGGUGGCUAAUACCGCAUACGGUCGGAUAACCCAUAUGGGGUUGGCUAGUAGGUAAGGGAAGGGCUUACCUAGGCGACGAUCCCUAGCUGGUCUGAGAGGAUGAUCAGCCACACUGGGACUGAGACACGGCCCAGACUCUAAGGGAGGCAGCAGUGGGGAAUAUUGCACAAUGGGCGCAAGCCUGAUGCAGCCAUGCGGCGUGUAUGAAGAAGGCCCUAGGGUUGUAAAGUACUUUCAGUCGGGAGGCGUUACCGACAGAAGAAGCACCGGCUAACUCCGUGCCAGCAGCCGCGGUAAUUC
Molecule: ribosomal RNA, 403 nt
Filed under: uncultured bacterium
Lineage: Bacteria
Description: partial 16S ribosomal RNA
Rfam family: Bacterial small subunit ribosomal RNA
Source: RNAcentral